AGCGAACGCUGGCGGCAGGCCUAACACAUGCAAGUCGAACGAACCUUUCGGGGUUAGUGGCGGACGGGUGAGUAACACGUGGGAACGUGCCUUUAGGUUCGGAAUAACUCAGGGAAACUUGUGCUAAUACCGAAUGUGCCCUUCGGGGGAAAGAUUUAUCGCCUUUAGAGCGGCCCGCGUCUGAUUAGCUAGUUGGUUGAGGUAAUGGCUCACCAAGGCGACGAUCAGUAGCUGGUCUGAGAGGAUGAUCAGCCACAUUGGGACUGAGACACGGCCCAAACUCCUACGGGAGGCAGCAGUGGGGAAUCUUGCGCAAUGGGCGAAAGCCUGACGCAGCCAUGCCGCGUGAAUGAUGAAGGUCUUAGGAUUGUAAAAUUCUUCCACCGGGGACGAUAAUGACGGUACCCGGAGAAGAAGCCCCGGCUAACUUCGUG
RNAcentral lists this ribosomal RNA (434 nucleotides) under uncultured bacterium. RNAcentral describes it as "partial 16S ribosomal RNA". It matches the Rfam family "Bacterial small subunit ribosomal RNA", at positions 29 to 507 of the family's 1533-position model. The record is from RNAcentral.